RNAcentral lists this long non-coding RNA (204 nucleotides) under Elaeis guineensis (African oil palm). RNAcentral describes it as "long non-coding RNA (EGUI_LNC039673)". Lineage: Eukaryota; Viridiplantae; Streptophyta; Magnoliopsida; Arecales; Arecaceae. The record is from RNAcentral.
AUGACUCUUGGCCCAUCGGUCAUCCACUCUCACAAAUUCCAUCCUCCUAAGAGAGUGGUUGUUGUAGGUGUCAAUGUAUGACAGCCUACAAACAGUCUCUCCAUCAAAAUCGACUCCAUCUCUCUAAAGAUAACUGUGAGGGCUAUACCAUAGGGCAAGGGAGCCUUGGACCUGUUCAAGACUUCCCUCAUAGCAUCAAUCAUU